Long non-coding RNA from Lycium ferocissimum, 366 nucleotides. RefSeq lists it as uncharacterized. The record is from RefSeq and is a predicted model, not a curated record. NCBI's taxonomy places the organism in Eukaryota, Viridiplantae, Streptophyta, Magnoliopsida, Solanales, Solanaceae. The transcript has 3 exons.
GUUAGCAAUUUUAAAUGUUUUAAAAUUGUUGUCUUGCAGGUUUUAUCCUUCUAGGCCAGCUGCAAAUGCAAUCUGAGCAGCAAUACAAAAACUUUAUAGUGGUGCCUUAGCGACGUGGGGUGAAGUGCCAUGUCAUACGCAGCAGGCGAUCCUUAAUGAGUUUAUGAAAAAGUAUACAUGGAACCCUACCGAGGAUAAUGUUAUUAGAAGUAAUUUUACAAAGAAGGCGAGUUCUCGAUCCUUAAUCAAUACUGGGCUACACCGGAGUUUCAAAAGAAGAGCGCCCAGACAAAGGCAGCUCGAAAGUCUGAGAAGGGUGGCUCAUUGCACACUUGUGGUUCAGUGUCCAUGGGGACUGCUAGGAGG